UUGAUGGUUGUAGUGAAUGAGUUUGUUCUCACUUUGAGGACUCAUUUUCAUGAGACCUUGAUGUGAAAGAUGAAAUUGUCUUUCAUGUUCAUUUUACAAUUUUUUGUCUCUGUUGUGGAAGAUAAUGUAUUUCUUACAUGCAGUUUCAUCCUGGCAAAUUGAACAGAUUUUACAGGCAAGGACCUCAUUACUAAAUGAUAAGCUACAAAUGGAAAAAAAAAAUUUUUACCAUGGUUACAGGAAUGUAUGGUGUCAAGAUGGUGUUUCAUUCUCACCUAUAGCCUCACCACUAUAGAAUAAGCAGCAAACAAAAUAUUAAAUCAGUUACCAUGGUUACAGGAAUGUAUCAUGGUUGCAUGGUGUCAAGAUGGUGUUUCAUUCUCAUCUAUAGCCUCACCACUAUAGAAUAAGCAGCAAACAAAAUAUUAAAUGAGUUACCAUGGUUACAGGAAUGAAUGGUGUCAAGAUGGUGUUUCAUUCUCACCUAUAGCCUCACCACUAUAGAAUAAGCAGCAAACAAAAUAUUAAAUCGGUUACCAUCAUUACAGCAAUCUCGUUCAAGCCAAUCACAGUUCUCGCUACUGCUAAACAAAGAUAUCAGGACAUGACAUUAUGUGUCACAUCAGAAUGACCUUCCAUACAACCUGUCAGAGUUUUGCUUACAUGAGGUGUGUAUUUUCUAAUCAAGCAUCCUCUAAAAGUUAACAUGGGGGUUUCCUGAUGACAUUUCUGGGCCAUACGAUUAUCCGACAAACAUGACUUGUAAUUGGAUGUCCUCUGAUGUUUGUUUAGUAGUAGAGAGAACUAAGAUUUGAUCUUAAUGAUGUUGCAGUUACAGGAAAGCAUUUUAGCACUUAUUUCAAGGACAGAAUUUAUAUUUUAAUGUGAUGCCUGAUUAUUGUGACCACUAUAUUGAGUGUUUUUUACACUGAAGUCACUGACUCUUAUAGUAACGUCUCAGAUUGGAACAGAGAAGUGAUGCUAGAAUUGGGAAUAAAUUAUGAAUAAUUUAGUAUUUGUUAUAGCAGUUUAUAAAAUAGUUUUGAAAUGUGGCCUGUCCAAGGACUGGCUGUCCAAAAAAGUGACCUGUCCUGAACAAACACAGCCAGUCCCCAAAACUAAAACUCUUCAUUCAAACCAAGUUUAUUCUUUCAAAUAUUUCCAUCGACCAAAGAACGACCUUACUUAUUUGAGAGACUGUUCUUCAGAAAAACAGACCGUCAAGGACGAUGGGACGGGCUAUAUUUUAUACACUGGUUACAGUAUAUGCUGACAGUGCCUUUGACAAAAUAAUAUAUUUUAUUAUGGUUUUAUUAUGACCAUGAGUUUUUUCUUUUCUCAUGGAAAUAUGUACAAGUUCUGAAGAUCAUUACAAUGUUUAUACUGUAGGGCCUAUCAGAGUUAUCUUUAUAUGUUCCACAGUGACCAUUGUGUAUUUAGAGAUUGUUAUAUGAACAUGACUAUGUCAUGCUGGUUUUUACAAAACUAGUGUCAGAAUGCUUUUUUUUCUGGAACGAGAACAAGAUAAUACAUGACGUAUUACACAUAAAACUAUGGCAUUAGAAAGUGUCAUCAUUCCGUAAUCAUUCAUUCAUGAUCAUUGUAGAAAACCAAAUCACAAGUUAUAAUGUAUCUGUGAGCUCAUGCCAACCUUUCAUCAUGAUAUGAUUCAAAUGAUGUCAACGACGCACACUUUUUUUUUUUCUAACCCCAUAGCUAAUAAAUAUUGUUAUGACACUGAACAUUAACCAGUACAAAAAAAAAUACAUAAUGUGUUUAGGGUAAAGACGGGUUGUCGUCAUCAAGUAUCUCUGUAAUGCAAAAAUUAUAUUUGUUUCUGUUUCUGUAAAUGUUUAGUUUGUAAUUAAUGUCAUACGUGUAUUGUAUAUACAAAUAAACAUAUAUAGUACCA
This 1912-nucleotide long non-coding RNA is filed under the name Haliotis rubra (blacklip abalone). RNAcentral's name for it is "uncharacterized LOC124269159". Lineage: Eukaryota; Metazoa; Mollusca; Gastropoda; Lepetellida; Haliotidae. The record is from RNAcentral.